CAUUUUAUCCAUUGUCUUUAUGACUUUCUGUGUCUAUGGAGGACAACUUUGCCAAAUUCAGGGUUUGUAUGGCAGCAUAGUAGUGUCAAUAAUACUUAUUGUAGUAGCUGUGAUAAUGCUGAAUAUUACUGAGAAUUACUUAAGGUUGAGGGUUUUAUAUCUUGAACAAAAAAAAGUUAUUGUGUAAUAAUAUUUUUAUAGCACAUUUUAAAUCCAGACCUCAUCACAAUGCUGCUUAAUUGAUUAAGACUUUGAUCAAGUUUUACAGACAUACAUUAAAAUUAUAAAAUGUUCUUUGUCAUUGAACUCUACAGUUAUCCAUCAAAGAGUGUAAGAGAUUCAAUAGUGCAGUCCAUUUGUAGUCAUACUUGGAAAUUACAAGUUCCAGUCAUGAAAAUGAAAUGGAACGUUCUUCUUAACAUCGUUUUAAGCUUUACUUUUUAAAAUAAUACACUACUUUUAAUCUGUUUAGUUUAGAGCUACAUGUAACAUAAACGUUGCGUUUGUAACAAUGUUAAUGCAUUGUUUACAACAAUACAUUUGUAUUGUUUACAACAAUACAUUUGUAUUGUUGUGUUUAUAACAAUACAACAAUCCAUUAACAAUACAUUUGCCUUGUAAAACCCAUUUUGUAAAAUACAUGUUUCCAACACAGCGUACUAUUGUUGAGGGGCAGCCAUUUUGACAGGUGAAGUCGGUCUUAUAAGUCGUAACUGGGGCUAGUUGUUUCUCCCACUUUCUCAGUGGAAAAUCUGACUUCUGGGGGCGUUCCUGUUGAUUUUUCUGACUGGGAAGUGGGAAUUUUUCAGUUCUGAUUACAAAUGGAAAACACAACAUUUCAGCUUGUCAAAGUUCUUUAAACACUUUUUCACUACAAUCUAUCAUUUACAAUUCAGUACUGCCUCUAUGGACAGUGAUUUAAAAACCAAAGUGGACCUGUAAAGCUGUGAUGUUAAAUACCAUACGGUCGAAAACUUGGGUGCAAAAGGUAGCCUAGUGCUACAGUGUGCAUUGAAACAGUGUCUUCAAUCAGAGGCUUCUUCAAAUUCGCUGUAAUACAGACAGCUACAGGAGACCCUUCUUGCCCACAGCCGUCUCCAUCUAAAAUAACUCUGGAAAAUCUGAAUUAAUAUGAGUUACAACUGAACCCUUUGGGAUCAGUAAAGCAUUUUUGGAUUUGAAAGACAUCAUGUUGGUGGUUCAUUUCUAGAUCAAAAAUGGUGAGAAUUGUUGGUUUGAUGCCAAUUUUUUAAAUCUGGCCAACUGAUUGGUCCAUCUCUCGUAAACUACUGCUUUCUUGCUAGUUUUAAUUUGUAGUUUCAGGGCUGGAAUAAAUAUCUAAGAUUUUUUUUAAUCUUUAAACUUUGCCAUUAUUUUCUACCCAUACAGACAUUGUAGAGGCAAAUUCAUUGACUUACUGUGACAUGUGGUUCCUUCUAGUGUUUGCAUAACUUGAUAUCACUCCCAGGGGACGUUGUCUUUGUGCAGCUGAGUGUGCCUGGAGGCAAGUGUGCCGCCCUCAGUCACACAAUCUGAGCCCCUCCCUCACAUAUCUGCAGCCCCCACGGGAUUCGUGCUCGCGUUGGGAGUUAUUGUUUCCAGGGAGCUGGUGUUUUCGCUCACAAAAGAAGCCCAGCUGGAGGAGAGGCAUUCAUGAUGUGGCAAAUAACAGCUGAAGAGCCAGUUAGACAUUAAUCAGUGUGACAUUAAGAGUCCCAUAGGGGUCAGGAUUUAUAAAAACCUGCAGGCCCACAGGUAGGGUCAUUCAUAGGAAGUGUAUUAUUGCUCAAGAUGAACGCCAUCAAAAAGAAUUAGCUUGAUUAAGGAUCAAUCUGAAUAUUACUGUGUUUUAGGGUUGUAUUUGUAAGAUUUCAAUAGGAUUGUAACAAAACAUAUAAAAUGAGCUGAAAGAUGAUUCCUAAAACACUGAGGAAACAAAGCAAAGUGUCAAAAAGUAAAAACACCUCAGAAACCUUUCACCCUGCAGUGAACAAUGGUGACAUUGUUCGUCCAAAUCUGCUUACAAACUAGUUCGUUGUACCCAGAAUAGACAAGUGCAGGUUCUUCUUUUGUUGCCUCAAUGUUAAACAGGUGAACCCCACAGUACCUUGCAAACGUUUUCACAUAAUUAUAAAGUUUUAUGUAUUUUAUUGAGAUUUUAUGCAACAGACCAACACCAGUGGAAGAAAAACAAUGGAAAUGCUUUCAAAUAUAGCCCUGAUAAAAUGCAUUUGGGGCUGAAACAAUCAACUAAUUUAGUAAUCAAUUAGCCAUUAAGAUUAUAUAGACCCA
Molecule: long non-coding RNA, 2292 nt
Organism: Xiphophorus hellerii (green swordtail)
Lineage: Eukaryota; Metazoa; Chordata; Actinopteri; Cyprinodontiformes; Poeciliidae
Exons: 2
Source: RefSeq, a predicted model, not a curated record